GGUUAAGCGACUAAGCGUACACGGUGGAUGCCCUGGCAGUCAGAGGCGAUGAAGGACGUGCUAAUCUGCGAUAAGCGCCGGUAAGGUGAUAUGAACCGUUAUAACCGGCGAUUUCCGAAUGGGGAAACCCAGUGUGAUUCGUCACACUAUCAUUAACUGAAUCCAUAGGUUAAUGAGGCGAACCGGGGGAACUGAAACAUCUAAGUACCCCGAGGAAAAGAAAUCAACCGAGAUUCCCCCAGUAGCGGCGAGCGAACGGGGAGGAGCCCAGAGCCUGAAUCAGCAUGUGUGUUAGUGGAAGCGUCUGGAAAGGCGCGCGAUACAGGGUGACAGCCCCGUACACAAAAGCGCAUGUGUUGUGAGCUCGAUGAGUAGGGCGGGACACGUGGUAUCCUGUCUGAAUAUGGGGGGACCAUCCUCCAAGGCUAAAUACUCCUGACUGACCGAUAGUGAACCAGUACCGUGAGGGAAAGGCGAAAAGAACCCCGGCGAGGGGAGUGAAAAAGAACCUGAAACCGUGUACGUACAAGCAGUGGGAGCCCCACCACUAAGCCAGUGGUGAACUCCACAUACGCAUCCUUUGCUGAGGAUACGGUUAACGGAGCGAAAGCGACGUUCAACCGCAAAAGAAGCAGAGGGGGCUUAGUGGUGGGGUGACUGCGUACCUUUUGUAUAAUGGGUCAGCGACUUAUAUUCUGUAGCAAGGUUAACCGUAUAGGGGAGCCG
Molecule: ribosomal RNA, 726 nt
Filed under: Salmonella enterica
Lineage: Bacteria; Pseudomonadati; Pseudomonadota; Gammaproteobacteria; Enterobacterales; Enterobacteriaceae
Description: partial 23S ribosomal RNA
Rfam family: Bacterial large subunit ribosomal RNA
Source: RNAcentral